Molecule: long non-coding RNA, 320 nt
Organism: Acanthopagrus latus (yellowfin seabream)
Lineage: Eukaryota; Metazoa; Chordata; Actinopteri; Spariformes; Sparidae
Exons: 3
Source: RefSeq, a predicted model, not a curated record
CGCCCCCCUUUACAAUCAGGCGCAGACGUCUCCGCCCAGCGUGAUAUAAUGGCCGCGACGAAGACGCUCAGUUGUCCCUGUGAGCUGUUGCAGGUUCCAUUAGGCCUCUGACUGAAGACUAAACUAUGAGGGAGAAGGCCUUCUUGGGUGAUAGCACUGAGACAAUCAAGGUCACCUCCUGUCUGACAGCUUCUGGUCGAGGCGCACAGGUAGGUCUUGUACACACAGACCAAUGACCAGUGAACAUUUUCGCAUGAAAAACAUGCAAAUACCAACAAAAACUUGUACAUCUCUAUGAGCACUCAGCUGUCUGUUAGUUG